CCGGCAACCGGCGCACGGGUGAGUAACACGUAUGCAACCUGCCCGUCUCAGGGGGAGUAAUCGUCGGAAACGGCGUCUAAUACCCCGUAUGAAGCUGGACGGCAUCGUCUGGUUUUGAAAGAAUAUCGGAGACGGAUGGGCAUGCGGCGCAUUAGCUAGUUGGCGGGGUAACGGCCCACCAAGGCGACGAUGCGUAGGGGUUCUGAGAGGAAGGUCCCCCACACUGGUACUGAGACACGGACCAGACUCCUACGGGAGGCAGCAG
RNAcentral lists this ribosomal RNA (265 nucleotides) under uncultured bacterium. RNAcentral describes it as "partial 16S ribosomal RNA". It matches the Rfam family "Bacterial small subunit ribosomal RNA", at positions 88 to 354 of the family's 1533-position model. The record is from RNAcentral.